Molecule: ribosomal RNA, 442 nt
Filed under: uncultured bacterium
Lineage: Bacteria
Description: bacterial SSU rRNA
Rfam family: Bacterial small subunit ribosomal RNA
Source: RNAcentral
UGGGGAAUAUUGCGCAAUGGGCGAAAGCCUGACGCAGCGACGCCGCGUGAGGGAUGAAGGUCUUCGGAUCGUAAACCUCUGUCAGCAGGGAAGAAAUUUUUAGUGUGCUAAUCAGCAUUAAAUUGACGGUACCUGCAAAGGAAGCACCGGCUAACUCCGUGCCAGCAGCCGCGGUAAUACGGAGGGUGCGAGCGUUAAUCGGAAUUACUGGGCGUAAAGCGCUCGUAGGUGGCAUGUCAAGUCAAGGGUGAAAUCCCCGCGCUCAACGUGGGAACUGCCUUUGAAACUGGCAGACUGGAGUGUGUGAGAGGAUAGUGGAAUUUCCAGGUGUAGGAGUGAAAUCCGUAGAUAUCUGGAGGAACAUCAGUGGCGAAGGCGACUAUCUGGCACAUAACUGACACUGAGGAGCGAAAGCGUGGGGUAGCAAACAGGAUUAGAUACC